Molecule: ribosomal RNA, 227 nt
Filed under: uncultured bacterium
Lineage: Bacteria
Description: partial 16S ribosomal RNA
Rfam family: Bacterial small subunit ribosomal RNA
Source: RNAcentral
CUGAACCAGCCAAGUAGCGUGAAGGAUGACUGCCCUAUGGGUUGUAAACUUCUUUUAUAUUAGAAUAAAGUGCAGUAUGUAUACUGUUUUGUAUGUAUAAUAUGAAUAAGGACCGGCUAACUCCGUGCCAGCAGCCGCGGUAAUACGGAGGAUCCGAGCGUUAUCCGGAUUUAUUGGGUUUAAAGGGAGCGUAGAUGGAUGUUUAAGUCAGUUGUGAAAGUUUGCGG